UUUUUUUGUAUGUUCAUGUUUCUUUUUCUAAUUUAUAGUUGUAUAAUGACUGUGAGACUUCGAUAUCUCACUGAUUCUUCUUCUUUUUCAAGAAAAGAAGAGGAGAGGAAAAGAAUUUUUCCCUUUUU
RNAcentral lists this non-coding RNA (128 nucleotides) under Fragilariopsis kerguelensis. The record is from RNAcentral. Lineage: Eukaryota; Bacillariophyta; Bacillariophyceae; Bacillariales; Bacillariaceae.